RNAcentral lists this ribosomal RNA (446 nucleotides) under uncultured bacterium. Its description in RNAcentral is "partial 16S ribosomal RNA". It matches the Rfam family "Bacterial small subunit ribosomal RNA", at positions 338 to 795 of the family's 1533-position model. The record is from RNAcentral.
CCUACGGGAGGCAGCAGUCGAGAAUCAUUCACAAUGGGGGAAACCCUGAUGGUGCGACGCCGCGUGGGGGAAUGAAGGUCUUCGGAUUGUAAACUCCUGUCAUGUGGGAGCAAAUUAAAAAGAUAGUACCACAAGAGGAAGAGACGGCUAACUCUGUGCCAGCAGCCGCGGUAAUACAGAGGUCUCAAGCGUUGUUCGGAGUCACUGGGCGUAAAGCGUGCGUAGGCUGUUUCGUAAGUCGUGAGUGAAAGGCGAGGGCUCAACCCGCGGAAGGCAAAUGAUACUACGAGACUAGAGUAAUGGAGGGGGAACCGGAAUUCUCGGUGUAGCAGUGAAAUGCGUAGAUAUCGAGAGGAACACUCGUGGCGAAGGCGGGUUCCUGGACAUUAACUGACGCUGAGGCACGAAGGCCAGGGGAGCGAAAGGGAUUAGAUACCCCAGUAGUC